GAAAUAAAUAAACUAGCAAAAUAUCCAUGGAAAGUAAUUAACCUCAAGUUUUGGUUUGGUUUUUUACAUGCAAACAGAGCAUAAUCCUGGUUGUUCAAAGUAACUGAAAAAGUCAAGGAAAACUCACCUGCUCAGUUAUUUUCAAGAUGAGAGAGUAGAAAUAGUGGCUUUUAAGAUUAUGAUGGAUACUGUUUCAGCAAUGAUCUCCAGUAAGUUUUAUGUUAAUACACUCUUCUGUUUUCCUGACAUGACCCGCUUUUCCUCUUUCUAGCUAGAUUUCAUUUAGACAAUUUGGCAUGUUUUUCUUCUAGCAAAUAAAAGCUAUGAUUACUGGCAGCUAAUGAGACUGCUUUAUGCUCAUGCUGGAAGGAUGGAAGCAAGAUGGGAAGGCAGGAAGGCUUCCAUGAGUGUUUUCACUCCCCAACUGUGUACAUCUCCAAAAGCUGGACCAGGUACCAAAAAGCGCCACUGGCACAGCUUCAGCAUGUGUUACCUCACUAUAAAACCUGAGCAGCUGUUCACAAGCUUUCAUACAGCCUGCGCAGCUCCUGCACGUUCCAUCCCUUUGGAAAGUCAGCGCUGACUGAGGUCAGCGCAGACAUCUGAAAGGCUGGGUAACCUCAGAGAAAUGUGUAACAUGUGGGGAAUGGGUGUGACAAAAUAUUAAAAAAUUUGGCAGUGAUUUACAGCUUUAUUGCAGAUCUGUCAUAAUUUAAAAGUAAAUGGGGUGGUAUUAUAGGAUACAAGCAAUCAAGUUCUGAAUUCAGAUGGGUCUCUCUCUUAAUAAAGUAAACUGACUUGAUCAUUUGUAUAUAACACUUUUCAUUAGGUAGUAGAUAUAUUCAGUACCAUGGGAAUCAACAUGGCUUAUCUUUCCAAACUGCAAUGCCAUCAAUUUAAGUUUCAAUUUCAAAACUUUAGAUUAUUGUAACUUUCAAAGGUAGUGUAGCUUAGUUCUUGGAUAUGAAGGUCAGUGCUUCUGAAUACGUGCUCAACUGAGCAAAGAACUUGCAUUUUUGAUACAUUCAUAACACAGAUGUUACAACGUUGAAGUGCUCCUCGCAUACUUAGCAAAACAAAGGGCUAUGUUAUGCUUUAAACAUCUGGUUUUUGCUACUUUGGGAAGAAGAGAUAGGUGGCUGUGGAGGCAGAUGCCUUGUCUUUUCUUUCCCAAGGCCCUGUGAAACAAAGCAUAAAUUUUUGAGAUAGAGACAAUUAACAGUGUUGCUGUCAAAGCCUCCUGGUCUGAUUGGGAUGAUCAGAGAUGAACCACCUGGUGGACGACCAAUUGCAAGAAGAAAUCAUGAACCAACAGCUACCCCCGAUGGACAAAACAACACACUUCUGAAAUAUCCCUCACAAUUUAAAAUAUGAAAUUUCUACCAUGAAGCUACACGGCAUUUCUAUUAUUUACUGAAGGAAGUUUAGUAAGUUGCUUGCUUUCAGUAUUUUAUCUCCCUAGCAGAGUCUAAAACAAUACAUUCACAAAUAUAACACCACUGGAGCCGCUAGUGCCAUUUGUCCUCCAAACAGUGCAUAACUCCAAUUGAACAAAACAAACAAUGUCCAUCAGAUCAGGGUGUGUGAGUACGCAGGUAUGUACCUGAAGAGAGUAAGGGUAGGAUUUUAAGAGUGCUGAGCAACCACAACACUAGAUCCAAAGAUGAGACAACAAUCAAAACUGGGAGGUGUGAAGUUGGGUAUUGUUAAUUCAGAUGUAAGUGCUAUGAAUAGCUAACCUGCUCAAGCGAUCUAUAGAUGAUGAAAACUGUUCUCCAAGAUCAGAACUUCGUCCAGUUGACACUUUCCUUUCUUGUCAGAUCCAAAGUGAAGUCUUUGCAGAACAAAAGUGAAAACUGAAGAAUUUCCAUUGUAAAAUGGCAUUAUUAUUCCUUCUCUUUUUUCACUAUUUGACAUUAAAAAGCUAAAAACAUCCCUAUACGAA
Long non-coding RNA from Columba livia (rock pigeon), 1945 nucleotides. RefSeq lists it as uncharacterized. The record is from RefSeq and is a predicted model, not a curated record. The transcript is spliced from 2 exons. Lineage: Eukaryota; Metazoa; Chordata; Aves; Columbiformes; Columbidae.